Molecule: ribosomal RNA, 776 nt
Filed under: uncultured Neocallimastigales
Lineage: Eukaryota; Fungi; Neocallimastigomycota; Neocallimastigomycetes; Neocallimastigales
Description: partial large subunit ribosomal RNA
Rfam family: Eukaryotic large subunit ribosomal RNA
Source: RNAcentral
AGAGAGAGACAUGCGCGCAUAUCAAUAAGCGGAGGAAAAGAAACUAACAAGGAUUCCCUUAGUAACGGCGAGUGAAGCGGGAAGAGCUCAAAUUUGAAAUCUUCAAGGUUCUACCUUGACGAAUUGUAGUUUAUAGAAGUGUUUUCUGUUAGUGGAGUGGCAAAAGUUCUUUGGAAUAGGACAUCAUAGAGGGUGAGAAUCCCGUAUUUGGUCAUUCCUCCUAGCGUUGUGAUACACUUUCAACGAGUCGGAUUGUUUGGGAAUGCAGUCCAAUAUGGGUGGUAAAUUUCAUCUAAAGCUAAAUAUUGGCGAGAGACCGAUAGCGAACAAGUACCGUGAGGGAAAGAUGAAAAGAACUUUGAAAAGAGAGUUAAACAGUAUCGUGAAAUUGUCAAAAGGGAAGCGUUUGACACCAGUGUUGUUUUUCCGAAAAUCAAUUACGAAUGUUUUGUUUUUGAGGAGUUAUGGACUUCAUCGGCUUGCUCCUUUCUUUACGAAACUUUCUUAAUGCACUUUUCGGUUAACAAGUCAACAUCAAUUUCUUUUGCUGUAAAAGGGUAUGAGGAAGGUGGCUUUCUUUUCGGAGAAAGUGUUUAUAGCCUUGUGCCUCUGCAAUCGGAGAGAUUGAGGUCUGCAGCGUAGAUCCUUCGGGGUUAGAUACGUUUGUGCUAAGUUAUAGCUUUUCAUAGACAACUUGUUGACUAUGUUUAGUCUUGUAGCUUACUCGCUGACGCUAUUUUACCUACGCUUAGGAUGUUGAUAGUCACAGCGUGUAC